UGCAAGUCGAACGGUGUCUUCGGACAUAGUGGCGCACGGGUGCGUAACACGUAUGCAACCUACCUUACAUUGGGGGAUAGCCUUUCGAAAGGGAGAUUAAUACCGCAUAAGACAGUAGCUGGGCAUCCAGCAGCUGUUAAAGAUUUAUCGAUGUAAGAUGGGCAUGCGUCCAAUUAGUUAGUUGGCGAGGUAAUGGCUCACCAAGACUUUGAUUGGUAGGGGAACUGAGAGGUCAAUCCCCCACACUGGCACUGAGAUACGGGCCAGACUCCUACGGGAGGCAGCAGUAGGGAAUAUUGGGCAAUGGACGCAAGUCUGACCCAGCCAUGCCGCGUGCAGGAUGAAGGCGUUAUGCGUUGUAAACUGCUUUUAUACAGGAAGAAACGACUCUUGCGAGAGGCAUUGACGGUACUGUAUGAAUAAGCACCGGCUAACUCCGUGCCAGCAGCCGCGGUAAUACGGAGGGUGCAAGCGUUGUCCGGAUUUAUUGGGUUUAAAGGGUGCGCAGGUGGUUUAUUAAGUCAGUGGUGAAAGACGGUCGCUCAACGAUUGCAGUGCCAUUGAAACUGGUAGACUUGAGUAAAGUAGAGGUGGGCGGAAUUGAUAGUGUAGCGGUGAAAUGCAUAGAUAUUAUCAAGAACUCCAAUUGCGUAGGCAGCUCACUUGGCUUUUACUGACACUCAUGCACGAAAGUGUGGGU
This 700-nucleotide ribosomal RNA is filed under the name uncultured bacterium. RNAcentral describes it as "bacterial SSU rRNA". It matches the Rfam family "Bacterial small subunit ribosomal RNA", at positions 56 to 766 of the family's 1533-position model. The record is from RNAcentral.